AUUGAACGCUGGCGGCAUGCCUUACACAUGCAAGUCGAACGGCAGCACGGGAGCAAUCCUGGUGGCGAGUGGCGAACGGGUGAGUAAUAUAUCGGAACGUGCCCGGUCGUGGGGGAUAACGUAGCGAAAGCUACGCUAAUACCGCAUACGAUCUACGGAUGAAAGCGGGGGACUCGCAAGAGCCUCGCGCGAUUGGAGCGGCCGAUAUCAGAUUAGGUAGUUGGUGGGGUAAAGGCUCACCAAGCCAACGAUCUGUAGCUGGUCUGAGAGGACGACCAGCCACACUGGAACUGAGACACGGUCCAGACUCCUACGGGAGGCAGCAGUGGGGAAUUUUGGACAAUGGGCGCAAGCCUGAUCCAGCAAUGCCGCGUGCAGGAUGAAGGCCUCGGUUGUAAC
Molecule: ribosomal RNA, 399 nt
Filed under: uncultured bacterium
Lineage: Bacteria
Description: bacterial SSU rRNA
Rfam family: Bacterial small subunit ribosomal RNA
Source: RNAcentral